This 844-nucleotide ribosomal RNA is filed under the name uncultured bacterium. RNAcentral describes it as "bacterial SSU rRNA". It matches the Rfam family "Bacterial small subunit ribosomal RNA", at positions 100 to 958 of the family's 1533-position model. The record is from RNAcentral.
GAACGGGUGAGUACACGUGGGUGAUCUGCCCUGCACUUUGGGAUAAGCCUGGGAAACUGGGUCUAAUACCGAAUAGGACCACGCGCUUCAUGGUGUGUGGUGGAAAGCUUUUGCGGUGUGGGAUGGGCCCNCNNNCUAUCAGCUUGUUGGUGGGGUAAUGGCCUACCAAGGCGACGACGGGUAGCCGGCCUGAGAGGGUGACCGGCCACACUGGGACUGAGAUACGGCCCAGACUCCUACGGGAGGCAGCAGUGGGGAAUAUUGCACAAUGGGCGCAAGCCUGAUGCAGCGACGCCGCGUGAGGGAUGACGGCCUUCGGGUUGUAAACCUCUUUCAAUAGGGACGAAGCGCAAGUGACGGUACCUAUAGAAGAAGCACCGGCCAACUACGUGCCAGCAGCCGCGGUAAUACGUAGGGUGCGAGCGUUGUCCGGAAUUACUGGGCGUAAAGAGCUCGUAGGUGGUUUGUCGCGUUGUUCGUGAAAACUCACAGCUUAACUGUGAGCGUGCGGGCGAUACGGGCAGACUAGAGUACUGCAGGGGAGACUGGAAUUCCUGGUGUAGCGGUGGAAUGCGCAGAUAUCAGGAGGAACACCGGUGGCGAAGGCGGGUCUCUGGGCAGUAACUGACGCUGAGGAGCGAAAGCGUGGGGAGCGAACAGGAUUAGAUACCCUGGUAGUCCACGCCGUANACGGUGGGUACUAGGUGUGGGUUCCUUCCUUGGGAUCCGUGCCGUAGCUAACGCAUUAAGUACCCCGCCUGGGGAGUACGGCCGCAAGGCUAAAACUCAAAGGAAUUGACGGGGGCCCGNNNANGCGGCGGAGCAUGUGGAUUAAUUCGAUGCA